This 250-nucleotide ribosomal RNA is filed under the name uncultured Chroococcidiopsis sp. RNAcentral's name for it is "partial 16S ribosomal RNA". It matches the Rfam family "Bacterial small subunit ribosomal RNA", at positions 796 to 1044 of the family's 1533-position model. Lineage: Bacteria; Bacillati; Cyanobacteriota; Cyanophyceae; Chroococcidiopsidales; Chroococcidiopsidaceae. The record is from RNAcentral.
CUAGCCGUAAACGAUGGAUACUAGGCGUUGUGAGUAUCGACCCUCACAGUGUCGUAGCUAACGCGUUAAGUAUCCCGCCUGGGGAGUACGCGCGCAAGCGUGAAACUCAAAGGAAUUGACGGGGGCCCGUACAAGCGGUGGAGUAUGUGGUUUAAUUCGAUGCAACGCGAAGAACCUUACCAGGGCUUGACAUGUCGCGAAUCUCAGGGAAACUUGAGAGUGCCUUCGGGAGCGCGAACACAGGUGGUGC